UACGAGGGGGGCGAGCGUUGUUCGGAAUUAUUGGGCGUAAAGGGUGCGUAGGCGGUUUGGUAAGUCUCUUGUGAAAUCUAUGGGCUCAACUCAUAGCCUGCAAGGGAAACUGCCGGGCUUGAGUGUGGGAGAGGUGAGUGGAAUUUCCGGUGUAGCGGUGAAAUGCGUAGAUAUCGGAAGGAACACCUGUGGCGAAAGCGGCUCACUGGACCACAACUGACGCUGAUGCACGAAAGCUAGGGGAGCAAACAGG
Molecule: ribosomal RNA, 253 nt
Filed under: uncultured bacterium
Lineage: Bacteria
Description: partial 16S ribosomal RNA
Rfam family: Bacterial small subunit ribosomal RNA
Source: RNAcentral